GUGGGUUGUUCUUGUUCUGAAUUGUUCACUUAAUUAGCACCUGUUUGUAACAACCCGAUGAACGCUAUGGUAUUAUCCCAGCGUUUCAGGCCAAGCCAAACAUAACAGGUAGUGAUUCUAGCGCUUCCCGCUUUGGGAGAGGAAGCGCCAUUUGAAACAAUGUGACAACACGAGUGAAAGGAGACCCCCAUGCAGGUCAGCAGAAGGCAGUUCUUUAAG
Molecule: small RNA, 219 nt
Filed under: Serratia sp. DD3
Lineage: Bacteria; Pseudomonadati; Pseudomonadota; Gammaproteobacteria; Enterobacterales; Yersiniaceae
Description: FdoG-1 5' UTR thermometer
Rfam family: FdoG-1 5' UTR thermometer (bases 44-219)
About the family: Located upstream of fdoG-1 gene which is involved in metabolic processes.
Source: Rfam by way of RNAcentral